Non-coding RNA from Dipodomys ordii (Ord's kangaroo rat), 70 nucleotides. Lineage: Eukaryota; Metazoa; Chordata; Mammalia; Rodentia; Heteromyidae. The record is from Rfam.
GGGAAGGUGGCUCAGUGGUAGAGUGCUUGCCUUGCAUGCAUGAGGCCCUAGGUUCGAUUCCUCAGUACCA